RNAcentral lists this ribosomal RNA (300 nucleotides) under uncultured Slackia sp. Its description in RNAcentral is "bacterial SSU rRNA". The stretch from base 52 to 300 matches the Rfam family "Bacterial small subunit ribosomal RNA", at positions 547 to 795 of the family's 1533-position model. The record is from RNAcentral. Lineage: Bacteria; Bacillati; Actinomycetota; Coriobacteriia; Eggerthellales; Eggerthellaceae.
GGUCACGGGGGGCCGGCGGCGAGGGUGUGUGGUGGGGGGUGAGAGUUGUCCGGAAUCAUGUGGCGUGAGUGGUGCGUUGGCGGCCCUGUACGUCAGCUGUGAAAGUCAAAGGCUCAACCGUUGAAGGUCAGCGGAUACUGCCGGGCUAGAGUCCGGAAGAGGGGAGUGGAAUUCCUGGUGUAGCGGUGGAAUGCGCAGAUAUCAGGAGGAACACCAACGGCGAAGGCAGCUCGCUGGGACGGUACUGACGCUGAGGCGCGAAAGCGUGGGGAGCGAACAGGAUUAGAUACCCUGGUAGUC